RNAcentral lists this ribosomal RNA (582 nucleotides) under uncultured bacterium. Its description in RNAcentral is "bacterial SSU rRNA". It matches the Rfam family "Bacterial small subunit ribosomal RNA", at positions 803 to 1488 of the family's 1533-position model. The record is from RNAcentral.
UAAACGAUGUCGACUUGGAGGUUGUGGCUUCCGGAGCUAACGCGUUAAGUCGACCGCCUGGGGAGUACGGCCGCAAGGUUAAACUCAAAUGAAUUGACGGGGGCCCGCACAAGCGGUGGGCAGUGGUUUAAUUCGAUGCAACGCGAAGAACUUACCUGGUCUUGACAUCCAGGUGCUGCAUGGCUGUCGUCAGCUCGUGUUGUGAAAUGUUGGGUUAAGUCCCGCAACGAGCGCAACCCUUAUCCUUUGUUGCAACUCAAAGGAGACUGCCAGUGAUAAACUGGAGGAAGGUGGGGAUGACGUCAAGUCAUCAUGGCCCUUACGACCAGGGCUACACACGUGCUACAAUGGCGCAUACAAAGAGAAGCGACCUCGCGAGAGCAAGCGGACCUCAUAAAGUGCGUCGUAGUCCGGAUUGGAGUCUGCAACUCGACUCCAUGAAGUCGGAAUCGCUAGUAAUCGUGGAUCAGAUGCCACGGUGAAUACGUUCCCGGGCCUUGUACACACCGCCCGUCACACCAUGGGAGUGGGUUGCAAAAGAAGUAGGUUACCACUUUGUGAUUCAUGACUGGGGUGAAGUCG